This 29-nucleotide non-coding RNA is filed under the name Cricetulus griseus (Chinese hamster). Lineage: Eukaryota; Metazoa; Chordata; Mammalia; Rodentia; Cricetidae. The record is from RNAcentral.
UCGCCGAGGAGGCUGACCGAAAGUAUGAG